Molecule: transfer RNA, 72 nt
Filed under: Camelus bactrianus (Bactrian camel)
Lineage: Eukaryota; Metazoa; Chordata; Mammalia; Artiodactyla; Camelidae
Also listed under: 2 other names
Rfam family: tRNA
About the family: Transfer RNA (tRNA) molecules are approximately 80 nucleotides in length. Their secondary structure includes four short double-helical elements and three loops (D, anti-codon, and T loops).
Source: Rfam by way of RNAcentral
GAGGGUAUAGCUCAGUGAUAGAGUGCAUGCCUAGCAUGCAUGAGGUCCUGGGUUCAAUCCCCAGUUCCUCCC